This 497-nucleotide ribosomal RNA is filed under the name uncultured bacterium. RNAcentral describes it as "partial 16S ribosomal RNA". It matches the Rfam family "Bacterial small subunit ribosomal RNA", at positions 28 to 507 of the family's 1533-position model. The record is from RNAcentral.
GACGAACGCUGGCGGCGUGCUUAACACAUGCAAGUCGAGCGGACAGGUGAUGAGCUUGUGGGGCGGUCGAGAGGCGAGGGGGUGAGAGAAACGUGAGUAUACUGCCCUUGUAAUAGGGAGAAAUCCAGGAAACUGGGGCUAAUACCGCAGAUGAGAUAUUGCAGCAUGGGGGGGGAUAGAAAGAUACGGCUGUUGGGGAACGAAUCGAGGGAUACGCGCCGCAUUAGGUGGUUGGUGCGGUAACGGCUUAUCAAGGGAACGAUGCGUAGCCGAACUGAGGGGGGGAUCGCCCACACUGGAACUGAGACACGGUCCAGACUCCUACGGGAGGCAGCAGUAGGGAAUCUUCCGCAAUGGGCGAAAGCCUGACGGAGCAACGCCGCGUGAGUGAUGAAGGUCUUCGGAUCGUAAAACUCUGUUAUUAGGGAAGAACAAAUGUGUAAGUAACUAUGCACGUCUUGACGGUACCUAAUCAGAAAGCCACGGCUAACUACGUG